UACGAAGGGGGCUAGCGUUGUUCGGAAUCACUGGGCGUAAAGCGCACGCAGGCGGAUUGAUAAGUCCGGGGUGAAAUCCCGGGGCUCAACCUCGGAAUUGCCUUUGAUACUGUCUGUCUUGAGUCCGGGAGAGGUGAGUGGAAUUCCUAGUGUAGAGGUGAAAUUCGUAGAUAUUAGGAAGAACACCAGUGGCGAAGGCGGCUCACUGGCCCGGUACUGACGCUCAUGUGCGAAAGCGUGGGGAGCAAACAGG
RNAcentral lists this ribosomal RNA (253 nucleotides) under uncultured bacterium. RNAcentral's name for it is "partial 16S ribosomal RNA". It matches the Rfam family "Bacterial small subunit ribosomal RNA", at positions 524 to 776 of the family's 1533-position model. The record is from RNAcentral.